This is a long non-coding RNA of Mya arenaria, 1561 nucleotides long. RefSeq lists it as uncharacterized. The record is from RefSeq and is a predicted model, not a curated record. NCBI's taxonomy places the organism in Eukaryota, Metazoa, Mollusca, Bivalvia, Myida, Myidae. The transcript is spliced from 4 exons.
CAAUUUCUCGAAACUUCUUAAGUCCCUUAUAACAGGAUUAAGCUAAACUCACUAUUUUUGGUUUUCAAUAAUUUGGAUAAUAUUUACUUCUUUAAGAGUUUUUAUACUUUAGAUAGGAACUAUCUAUAUGUUAGUUAAAUUAAACCAUUUUUCAUUUAUCAAAAUUUCAUUCAAGUAUGUAUUUUGAGUAAUUGAAAUAAGCUACUUAAGCCUGUUAAGCUUAAGAAGUUUCGAGAAAUUGGGGCCAGGACAUUAAAUAAUUCGAAAAUAGAUUCUUUCUUUUUAUAACGAUUUAUUGCAAACAAAUAUAAACUGAUAUUUUAGCAUUCGCACAUUGACUUCUGUCUUGAAAAGUUACUCCUUUGGUUGGUACUUACGUUGGCGUAAGUUAAUAAACCUAUCCAAAUAUUCCCUUUUGAGUUGCAUAAUUUCAAGAGGUGUCGUGAAACAUAAGAAGGAACUAUUAAGUAAUACAAUGGAAGUCUUUUCAGCCGUUGUUUUCUUUUGCAUGGCGUCGCUAUAUAGGGCAAUGUCGCUUCGUUUGGAUAUUGAAUCCACUGCAUUGGAUGGUUUUGUCGAACCAUUUCAAGCUUAACAAGUGACUGGAAUUGUUCUCGAGGACAAUGCGGCUGUGUCAUUGUUACUUCACCAUUUAAAGAAGCUCUUCAAAUUCAGAUUAUAUAUCAAUUGGAGGACUUUUUCAAUGCCACCAUCAAAGGUCCAUGGGGCAAAGACUCUUGUGCCUCUCGGUUGCUUCAAAAUACCGCAGCCCAGCGACGGUGAACAUUUCAAACUAAUGAUGUUCUUGAAAGGUCUUGGACGUGGUGAAGGGUAAAAUAAUAUACUGGCUAACAGCGCUGUCAAUCCGUGGCGUAUUUGCAAUGUUGUGAAACAGCAAAUCAGAUAAAACAACAAAAGGACUUUAAUAGUAACAAAAUCUCUGACAUGUAAACAUUUUUGUUAAUUUUAGUGAUCAUUUUACCAUUCAUAAUAUAGGCAUUCUUUGCUUCGACAGCGAUAUCACGACGUGACUGGACACCCAAAUUGAUCUCAACCAUAUCAAAUAGUUUGUUAUCGUUUAGAGACAAUAUUAGAUAUGAAAACUUCAAGCUAAAAUUAUACAUGAUUUUUUUCAACAAAAUCUUUUGGUAAUACAAUACAUGUGAAUGUCAAAACAAAGCUUCAUAAUUUGUUUAAAAAACAUAACAGAAACACAGUCAAGAUAUUCUUUGUUUGUAUCUGAUCGUUGAAUAUUAAGUUAUUUUAUUAGUUUGUUUACUUUAAUUUACCUUAUAACCUAUUGAUUGUCGGCCCGACUAGCUUCUUUUUUUAAAUAAUUAAAAAAAAAUGGCUUUUAAUUUUAAUUUGCUUUUUACACACUUCAUAAAAUAGAAACACAGCGCUGAAUAUAUUUAAAGCACAUUUACAUUAUUCCGGCCACUGGGCCGUCCUCUCUAGCUUGCGCUAUAUCUUGAUUGUAAAUAUUAGAAUGCAAAAUUAUUCAUUUUGUUCUUUCAUGGAUGCACUAUUUAAUAUCUAAUAUGUGUAUCUAGUUUGUGUU